This 497-nucleotide ribosomal RNA is filed under the name uncultured bacterium. RNAcentral describes it as "partial 16S ribosomal RNA". It matches the Rfam family "Bacterial small subunit ribosomal RNA", at positions 28 to 507 of the family's 1533-position model. The record is from RNAcentral.
GAUGAACGCUGGCGGCGUGCCUAAUACAUGCAAGUCGAGCGAACAGACGAGGAGCUUGCUCCUCUGACGUUAGCGGCGGACGGGUGAGUAACACGUGGAUAACCUACCUAUAAGACUGGGAUAACUUCGGGAAACCGGAGCUAAUACCGGAUAAUAUAUUGAACCGCAUGGUUCAAUAGUGAAAGACGGUUUUGCUGUCACUUAUAGAUGGAUCCGCGCCGCAUUAGCUAGUUGGUAAGGUAACGGCUUACCAAGGCAACGAUGCGUAGCCGACCUGAGAGGGUGAUCGGCCACACUAGAACUGAGACACGGUCCAGACUCCUACGGAAGGCAGCAGUAGGGAAUCUUCCGCAAUGGGCGAAAGCUUGACGGAGCAACGCCGCGUGAGUGAUGAAGGUCUUCGGAUCGUAAAACUCUGUUAUUAGGGAAGAACAAAUGUGUAAGUAACUAUGCACAUCUUGACGGUACCUAAUCAGAAAGCCACGGCUAACUACGUG